This 253-nucleotide ribosomal RNA is filed under the name uncultured bacterium. RNAcentral describes it as "partial 16S ribosomal RNA". It matches the Rfam family "Bacterial small subunit ribosomal RNA", at positions 524 to 776 of the family's 1533-position model. The record is from RNAcentral.
UACGGGGGGAGCAAACGUUGUUCGGAAUUACUGGGCGUAAAGGGCGUGCAGGCGGCCUUGUAAGAGGGAUGUGAAAUGCCCUGGCUCAACCAGGGAACUGCAUUCCAGACUGCAAGGCUUGAGUAUAGGAGAGGAUGGGGGAAUUCCCGGUGUAGCGGUGAAAUGCAUUGAUAUCGGGAGGAACACCAGUGGCGAAGGCGCCCAUCUGGCCUAAUACUGACGCUCAGGCGCGAAAGCUAGGGGAGCAAACAGG